UACGUAGGUGGCAAGCGUUAUCCGGAUUUACUGGGUGUAAAGGGAGCGUAGACGGCGAUGCAAGCCAGAUGUGAAAGCCCGGGGCUCAACCCCGGGACUGCAUUUGGAACUGUAUAGCUAGAGUGUCGGAGAGGCAGGCGGAAUUCCUAGUGUAGCGGUGAAAUGCGUAGAUAUUAGGAGGAACACCAGUGGCGAAGGCGGCCUGCUGGACGAUGACUGACGUUGAGGCUCGAAAGCGUGGGGAGCAAACAGG
Molecule: ribosomal RNA, 253 nt
Filed under: uncultured bacterium
Lineage: Bacteria
Description: partial 16S ribosomal RNA
Rfam family: Bacterial small subunit ribosomal RNA
Source: RNAcentral